This is an unclassified non-coding RNA of Myotis lucifugus (little brown bat), 296 nucleotides long. Its record names the gene 7SK. It matches the Rfam family "7SK RNA". From Rfam's summary of the family: 7SK was discovered as an abundant small nuclear RNA in the mid-70s but a possible function has only recently been suggested. Two independent studies have found that 7SK RNA binds the CDK9/cyclin T complex (known as elongation factor P-TEFb). P-TEFb activates transcription by phosphorylating the C-terminal domain of RNA polymerase II. NCBI's taxonomy places the organism in Eukaryota, Metazoa, Chordata, Mammalia, Chiroptera, Vespertilionidae. The record is from Ensembl.
GGAUGUGAGGGCGAUCUGGCUGCGACAUCUGUCACCCCAUUGAUCGCCAGGGUUGAUUUGGCUGAUCUGGCUGGCUAGGCGGGUGUCCCCUUCCUCCCUCACCGAUCCAGCUACACGCUCGGUCAAAGAGAGGAGAGGACCAGUCUUCAGUCAAGGCCAUAGGAGUAGCUGCGCUCCCCUGCUGGGACCUCCAGACAAGCUCUCUGCAGGAGAAAGUAGAGUAGUCAAGCUCCCAAGUCUCCAGGCACAUCCAAAUGAGCCAAGUGAGAUGCUGCACAUGGCAGUCUGCCUUUCUU